This 410-nucleotide ribosomal RNA is filed under the name uncultured Desulfobulbus sp. RNAcentral describes it as "bacterial SSU rRNA". It matches the Rfam family "Bacterial small subunit ribosomal RNA", at positions 980 to 1382 of the family's 1533-position model. The record is from RNAcentral. Lineage: Bacteria; Pseudomonadati; Thermodesulfobacteriota; Desulfobulbia; Desulfobulbales; Desulfobulbaceae.
CUUGACAUCCCGGAGACCCUUAGGAAACUAGGGGUGCUUCCAUCUGGAAGAAUCUGGAGACAGGUGCUGCAUGGCUGUCGUCAGCUCGUGUCGUGAGAUGUUGGGUUAAGUACCCGCAACGAGCGCAACCCUUGCCUUUAGUUGCCAGCAGUUCGGCUGGGCACUCUAAAGGGACUGCCGGUGUUAAACCGGAAGGAAGGUGGGGAGUGACGUCAAGUCCUCAUGGCCUUUAUGACCAGGGCUACACACGUACUACAAUGGCCGAUACAAAGGGCAGCGACACUGCGAGGUGAAGCCAAUCCCGUAAAAUCGGUCUCAGUCCGGAUUGGAGUCUGCAACUCGACUCCAUGAAGUUGGAAUCGCUAGUAAUCGUGGAUCAGCAUGCCACGGUGAAUACGUUCCCGGGCCUU